AUGUUCAGGCCCAAUUUUAUGUUUCUCCUUUUUUCUCCUAACCCAGCACACAACCCGCAGCCCUGCUUAGUCUUCAGAUGGCCCGUCUUCGAUGCAUGUUUAUUGAGCGCCCUGCGUGUCGCGUGUGCUGGGAAUGUGGUAAGAGGCAGAGCCGGCCCACCCUUCAUGGAGCUGAUGCUGUCUGUGGGGCAGCAGACGGGCCAGCAGGUGGAACGUGCCGAUAACGUGAAGGAUGAAGUUGUAAAUGGGGAGAAGGUCCAAGGGCAAGAAUUUUCAAGGAACCGAAAGACACUGGAGCCGAGAAGGGAACAUGGCCCUGAGAGGAGCUGUAGAGGGAGGAGGGGGCAAACAGGAUGGAGUUUCCUCAAACGAACGUCAUACGGUCUAGUGCUCCGCGGAAACACUGGAACAUUCUCCUUGCGGUGGAACGACGGUGGCACCUUAUUGGCAGAGGCAGCCAGGACCAGGCUCCACCUGGAAGAAGUUCCUGGGGUCAGGCUGGGGAAAGCAGACAGUGAGUUCAUUUUUAAACCCAAGUGGGCACCACAGCUGCCAGGGAGAAGCAGAUGGCCCUUGGGGAGAAUAGAGAUCGGCAUCUGGUCAGACACUUGUCAGGAAGCCCGCAGGCUGCCAAGUGGGCAGGGGUUCAGACUGGCUGAAGGCCAGGAGUGUGCUUGAGGGGUCAGGGUGGGGCUGAGGGGAGCAGCAGCUAACACUCUGGAGCCCAGUGGGGCGCCUGGGGGGGGGGCGCGGACUCCUGAUUUCAGCUCAGGUCAUGGUCUCAGGGUUGUGGGAUCGAGCCCUGCGUGGGGCUCCGUGCUCAGUGUGGAGUCUGUUUGCGAUUCUCUCUCCUCUCCCUCUGCCUCUCCCCGCCCCCGCCCCACUCAUAUGCUCUCUUUCUCAAAUAAAUAAAUAAAUC
Molecule: long non-coding RNA, 919 nt
Organism: Ursus maritimus (polar bear)
Lineage: Eukaryota; Metazoa; Chordata; Mammalia; Carnivora; Ursidae
Source: Ensembl